Molecule: ribosomal RNA, 253 nt
Filed under: uncultured bacterium
Lineage: Bacteria
Description: partial 16S ribosomal RNA
Rfam family: Bacterial small subunit ribosomal RNA
Source: RNAcentral
UACGUAGGGGGCAAGCGUUGUCCGGAUUUAUUGGGCGUAAAGAGCGUGUAGGCGGCCUAGUAGGUCAGCUGUGAAAACUCGAGGCUCAACCUCGAGCUGUCGGUUGAAACCACUAGGCUAGAGUCCGGAAGAGGAGAAUGGAAUUCCCGGUGUAGCGGUGAAAUGCGCAGAUAUCGGGAAGAACACCCGUGGCGAAGGCGGUUCUCUGGGACGGUACUGACGCUGAGACGCGAAGGCGUGGGGAGCGAACAGG